CAGUCGCCGCGGUAAUGCGUAGGUGGCAAGCGUUGUCCGGAAUUAUUGGACGUAAAGGGCUCGCAGGCGGUUUCUUAAGUCUGAUGUGAAAGCCCCCGGCUCAACCGGGGAGGGUCAUUGGAAACUGGGAAACUUGAGUGCAGAAGAGGAGAGUGGAAUUCCACGUGUAGCGGUGAAAUGCGUAGAGAUGUGGAGGAACACCAGUGGCGAAGGCGACUCUCUGGUCUGUAACUGACGCUGAGGAGCGAAAGCGUGGGGAGCGAACAGGAUUAGAUACCCGCGUAGUCCCUGUCUCUUAUAA
Molecule: ribosomal RNA, 301 nt
Filed under: uncultured bacterium
Lineage: Bacteria
Description: partial 16S ribosomal RNA
Rfam family: Bacterial small subunit ribosomal RNA
Source: RNAcentral